GCGCUCGUAGCUCAGCUGGAUAGAGCAACGGCCUUCUAAGCCGUGGGUCGCAGGUUCGAGUCCUGCCGGGCGCG
This is a non-coding RNA of Thiorhodococcus drewsii AZ1, 74 nucleotides long. The record is from Rfam. NCBI's taxonomy places the organism in Bacteria, Pseudomonadati, Pseudomonadota, Gammaproteobacteria, Chromatiales, Chromatiaceae.